CUACGUGCCAGCAGCCGCGGUAAUACGUAGGGCGCGAGCGUUGUCCGGAAUUAUUGGGCGUAAAGAGCUCGUAGGCGGCUGGUCGCGUCUGUCGUGAAAUCCUCUGGCUUAACUGGGGGCUUGCGGUGGGUACGGGCCGGCUUGAGUGCGGUAGGGGAGACUGGAACUCCUGGUGUAGCGGUGGAAUGCGCAGAUAUCAGGAAGAACACCGGUGGCGAAGGCGGGUCUCUGGGCCGUUACUGACGCUGAGGAGCGAAAGCGUGGGGAGCGAACAGGAUUAGAUACCCUGGUAGUCCACGCCCUAAACGAUGUCAAUUAGCUGUUGGGCAACUUGAUUGCUUAGUAGCGUAGCUAACGCGUGAAAUUGACCGCCUGGGGAGUACGGUCGCAAGAUUAAAACUCAAAGGAAUUGACGGGGACCCGCACAAGCGGUGGAUGAUGUGGAUUAAUUCGAUGCAACGCGAAGAACCUUACCUGGUCUUGACAU
Molecule: ribosomal RNA, 487 nt
Filed under: uncultured bacterium
Lineage: Bacteria
Description: bacterial SSU rRNA
Rfam family: Bacterial small subunit ribosomal RNA
Source: RNAcentral